UCCCUGGUGGCUCAGAUGGUAAAGAAUCUGCCUGCAAUGUGGGAGAUCCAGGUUCAAUCCCUGGGUCGGGGAG
Molecule: non-coding RNA, 73 nt
Organism: Bos taurus (domestic cattle)
Lineage: Eukaryota; Metazoa; Chordata; Mammalia; Artiodactyla; Bovidae
Source: Rfam